RNAcentral lists this transfer RNA (85 nucleotides) under Kofleriaceae bacterium. RNAcentral's name for it is "tRNA-Ser". It matches the Rfam family "tRNA". Rfam says of the family: Transfer RNA (tRNA) molecules are approximately 80 nucleotides in length. Their secondary structure includes four short double-helical elements and three loops (D, anti-codon, and T loops). The record is from RNAcentral. Lineage: Bacteria; Pseudomonadati; Myxococcota; Haliangiales; Kofleriaceae.
GGAAGGAGUCCGGCUGGACGAGGAGCGCGGGUGCUAACCGUGUGCGCGGGUGACCGCGUCGAGGGUUCGAGUCCCUCUCCUUCCU